This 1370-nucleotide ribosomal RNA is filed under the name uncultured bacterium. RNAcentral's name for it is "bacterial SSU rRNA". It matches the Rfam family "Bacterial small subunit ribosomal RNA", at positions 28 to 1381 of the family's 1533-position model. The record is from RNAcentral.
GAUGAACGCUGGCGGCGUGCCUAAUACAUGCAAGUCGAGCGAACAGACGAGGAGCUUGCUCCUCUGACGUUAGCUGCGGACGGGUGAGUAACACGUGGAUAACCUACCUAUAAGACUGGGAUAACUUCGGGAAACCGGAGCUAAUACCGGAUAAUAUAUUGAACCGCAUGGUUCAAUAGUGAAAGACGGUUUUGCUGUCACUUAUAGAUGGAUCCGCGCCGCAUUAGCUAGUUGGUAAGGUAACGGCUUACCAAGGCGACGAUGCGUAGCCGACCUGAGAGGGUGAUCGGCCACACUGGAACUGAGACACGGCCCAGACUCCUACGGGAGGCAGCAGUAGGGAAUCUUCGGCAAUGGACGGAAGUCUGACCGAGCAACGCCGCGUGAGUGAAGAAGGUUUUCGGAUCGUAAAGCUCUGCUGUAAGAGAAGAACGAGUGUGAGAGUGGAAAGUUCACACUGUGACGGUAUCUUACCAGAAAGGGACGGCUAACUACGUGCCAGCAGCCGCGGUAAUACGUAGGUCCCGAGCGUUGUCCGGAUUUAUUGGGCGUAAAGCGAGCGCAGGCGGUUAGAUAAGUCUGAAGUUAAAGGCUGUGGCUUAACCAUAGUACGCUUUGGAAACUGUUUAACUUGAGUGCAAGAGGGGAGAGUGGAAUUCCAUGUGUAGCGGUGAAAUGCGUAGAUAUAUGGAGGAACACCGGUGGCGAAAGCGGCUCUCUGGCUUGUAACUGACGCUGAGGCUCGAAAGCGUGGGGAGCAAACAGGAUUAGAUACCCUGGUAGUCCACGCCGUAAACGAUGAGUGCUAGGUGUUAGACCCUUUCCGGGGUUUAGUGCCGUAGCUAACGCAUUAAGCACUCCGCCUGGGGAGUACGACCGCAAGGUUGAAACUCAAAGGAAUUGACGGGGGCCCGCACAAGCGGUGGAGCAUGUGGUUUAAUUCGAAGCAACGCGAAGAACCUUACCAGGUCUUGACAUCCUUCUGACCACUCUAGAGAUAGAGCUUUCCUUCGGGACAGAGGUGACAGGUGGUGCAUGGUUGUCGUCAGCUCGUGUCGUGAGAUGUUGGGUUAAGUCCCGCAACGAGCGCAACCCUUAUUGUUAGUUGCCAUCAUUAAGUUGGGCACUCUAACGAGACUGCCGGUAAUAAACCGGAGGAAGGUGGGGAUGACGUCAAAUCAGCGUGCCCCUUAUGACCUGGGCUACACACGUGCUACAAUGGCUGGUACAACGAGUCGCAAGCCGGUGACGGCAAGCUAAUCUCUUAAAGCCAGUCUCAGUUCGGAUUGUAGGCUGCAACUCGCCUACAUGAAGUCGGAAUCGCUAGUAAUCGCGGAUCAGCACGCCGCGGUGAAUACGUUCCCGGGCCU